GGUUAAUAUUCCUGUACUUGGUGUUACUGCGAAGGGGGGACGGAGAAGGCUAUGUUAGCCGGGCGACGGUUGUCCCGGUUUAAGCAUGUAGGCUGGUUGUCCAGGCAAAUCCGGAUAAUCAAGGCUGAGGUGUGAUGACGAGGCACUACGGUGCUGAAGUAACAAAUGCCCUGCUUCCAGGAAAAGCCUCUAAGCAUCAGGUAACAUCAAAUCGUACCCCAAACCGACACAGGUGGUCAGGUAGAGAAUACCAAGGCGCUUGAGAGAACUCGGGUGAAGGAACUAGGCAAAAUGGUGCCGUAACUUCGGGAGAAGGCACGCUGGUGUGUAGGUGAAGUCCCUGCGGAUGGAGCUGAGACCAGUCGAAGAUACCAGCUGGCUGCAACUGUUUAUUAAAAACACAGCACUGUGCAAACACGAAAGUGGACGUAUACGGUGUGAC
This 442-nucleotide ribosomal RNA is filed under the name Klebsiella pneumoniae. Its description in RNAcentral is "partial 23S ribosomal RNA". It matches the Rfam family "Bacterial large subunit ribosomal RNA", at positions 1428 to 1856 of the family's 2925-position model. Lineage: Bacteria; Pseudomonadati; Pseudomonadota; Gammaproteobacteria; Enterobacterales; Enterobacteriaceae. The record is from RNAcentral.